Molecule: non-coding RNA, 123 nt
Organism: Picea glauca (white spruce)
Lineage: Eukaryota; Viridiplantae; Streptophyta; Pinopsida; Pinales; Pinaceae
Source: Rfam
AUGUACAUGCCUAAACCAUAGCGUUAAUGCACUGAAUCCCAUUAGAACUCUGCAGUUAAGCACGCUCGGGCUAGAGUAGUAUUGGGAUGGGUGACUGCCUGAGAAGUCCUAGUAUUUUACAUG